CGGGAGGCAGCAGUUAGGAAUCUUCGGCAAUGGGGGAAACCCUGACCGAGCGACACUGCUUGAAGGAUGAAGGUCUUCGGAUCGUAAACUUCUGAACCUGCGACGAAAAAUGACGGUAGCAGGCUAAUAGCACCGGCUAACUCCGUGCCAGCAGCCGCGGUAAUACGGAGGGUGCAAGCGUUAUCCGGAAUCACUGGGCGUAAAGGGCGCGUAGGCGGUUUGUUAAGUCCGAUGUUAAAGACCGAGGCUCAACCUCGACACGGCGUUGGAUACUGGCAAGCUGGACGGUUGGAGAGGAAGGUAGAAUUACCAGUGUAGCGGUGGAAUGCGUAGAUACUGGUAGGAAUACCCAUUGCGAAGGCAGCCUUCUGGACAACACGUGACGCUGAGGCGCGAAAGUGUGGGGAGCAAACCGGAUUAGAUACCCGGGUAGUCCACACCCUAAAC
Molecule: ribosomal RNA, 447 nt
Filed under: uncultured bacterium
Lineage: Bacteria
Description: bacterial SSU rRNA
Rfam family: Bacterial small subunit ribosomal RNA
Source: RNAcentral